UAACAUCUCUAUUUUCCUUUUCUUGCUGAAGAUUAUUGAUAAGCUAUGGGUGACAUUGAUCCUUCUUUCGUUCAAGACCAUGAGCAGAGGCCAGAUUUCAAAAGCAUAGAAAUUGAAGAAGAAAUCCCAGUUAUUGAUCUCUCGGCUUCAAGCCCAAGUGACAUUCAAGAACUAGUUUCAAAGAUUGGAGAAGCAUGCAAGAAUUAUGGGUUUUUUCAAGUGAUUAAUCAUGGAGUACCACUGGAGCUGCGUCAAAAGACUGAGAAGGUGGCAAAAGAAUUCUUUGAUCAGUCGCUGGAGGAGAAAAGGAAGGUGAAGCGAAACGAGGUAGAUCCUAUGGGAUACUACGAGAGUGAACACACUAAAAAUGUUAGGGAUUGGAAGGAGGU
This 389-nucleotide unclassified non-coding RNA is filed under the name Hevea brasiliensis (rubber tree). The record is from RNAcentral. Lineage: Eukaryota; Viridiplantae; Streptophyta; Magnoliopsida; Malpighiales; Euphorbiaceae.